UGGCCAUCCGAGUUGUAAUCUAGAGAAGUGUUACCCGCGUCAGACCGUGUACAAGUCUCCUGGAAUGGAGCGUCAUAGAGGGUGAGAAUCCCGUCUUUGACACGGACUACUGAGGCUUUGUGGUACUCUCAAAGAGUCGAGUUGUUUGGGAAUGCAGCUCAAAAUGGGUGGUAAAUUCCAUCUAAAGCUAAAUAUUGGCGAGAGACCGAUAGCGAACAAGUACCGUGAGGGAAAGAUGAAAAGAACUUUGGAAAGAGAGUUAAACAGUACGUGAAAUUGCUGAAAGGGAAACGCUUGAAGUCAGUCGCGUUGGCCGGAAAUCAGCCUUGCUUUUGCAUGGUGUACUUUCUGAUUGACGGGCCAGCAUCAGUUUUGACCGAUGGAAAAAGUCUAGAGGAAGGUGGCAUCUUCGGAUGUGUUAUAGCCUCUGGUCGUAUACAUCGGUUGGGACUGAGGAACUCAGCACGCCGCAAGGCCGGGUCUUUGACCACGUUCGUGCUUAGGAUGCUGGCAUAAUGGCUUUAAUCGACCCGUCUUGAAACACGGACCAAGGAGUCUAACAUGCCUGCGAGUGUUUGGGUGGAAAACCCGAGCGCGUAAUGAAAGUGAAAGUUGAGAUCCCUGUCAUGGGGAGCAUCGACGCCCGGACCAGAAGUUUUCUGACGGCCCUGCGGUAGAGCAUGUAUGUUGGGACCCGAAAGAUGGUGAACUAUGCCUGAAUAGGGUGAAGCCAGAGGAAACUCUGGUGGAGGCUCGUAGC
Molecule: ribosomal RNA, 760 nt
Filed under: Psathyrella panaeoloides
Lineage: Eukaryota; Fungi; Basidiomycota; Agaricomycetes; Agaricales; Psathyrellaceae
Description: eukaryotic LSU rRNA
Rfam family: Eukaryotic large subunit ribosomal RNA
Source: RNAcentral